Pseudophryne corroboree (corroboree frog) is the source of this 551-nucleotide long non-coding RNA. RefSeq lists it as uncharacterized. Lineage: Eukaryota; Metazoa; Chordata; Amphibia; Anura; Myobatrachidae. The transcript has 3 exons. The record is from RefSeq and is a predicted model, not a curated record.
GCUCCGAUUCCCGGUAGCAGGCCGGCCGGUGCCCGGUGUGUGCGCUGCAGGAUGUGCCCAGAUCCCGCCCUCACGUCACUGAGUGGGGAUGCCCGGCCUGGAGUCAGCUCCUGUGGGCUUAGUACAUCUGGACUACAGUGUGAUGAUUCCAUGAGAGAGAUGACAGUGCUGAGUGCUGUUUCCGGCGAGUGACGUAGCAGGAGGGAUGGAGGCUGUAAGAUAUGGAUUACAGAGGAGUAUUUAUGGGUGCAGAGUGGUCUCCUGUGUGAGCGGUUCGGCAUCUUUGGACGCAGUCGCUUUCAGCAACACACCCGGCGCGGCUUUGCCCCCCCAAGGAAGCAGCAGUGAUAGCUAAUCCAACGGCACCUGAAUGUGUGUAGUGUAACCAGGUCUGCCUUCUACUCAACAGAGCAACCGCGUGUCACUCGUCGUCACUAACUGUGUCUGCCGUGUCACUGAUCCCAUAAUCAACGCACAUGCUAAUGUAUUUCCCCGUGUGCCGUAUACAUCUAAGAUGAUGGAUACAGUGGGGAGACGCAGAUUGAAUUGCA